GAUGAACGCUGGCGGCGCGCCUAACACAUGCAAGUCGAACGGCACCCCUCCUCGGAGGGAAGCGAGUGGCGAACGGCUGAGUAACACGUGGAGAACCUGCCCCCUCCCCCGGGAUAGCCGCCCGAAAGGACGGGUAAUACCGGAUACCCCGGGGUGCCGCAUGGCACCCCGGCUAAAGCCCCGACGGGAGGGGAUGGCUCCGCGGCCCAUCAGGUAGACGGCGGGGUGACGGCCCACCGUGCCGACAACGGGUAGCCGGGUUGAGAGACCGACCGGCCAGCUUGGGACUGAGACACGGCCCAGACUCCUACGGGAGGCAGCAGUGGGGAAUCUUGCGCAAUGGGGGGAACCCUGACGCAGCGACGCCGCGUGCGGGACGGAGGCCUUCGGGUCGUAAACCGCUUUCAGCAGGGAAGAGUCAAGACUGUACCUGCAGAAGAAGCCCCGGCUAACUACGUG
RNAcentral lists this ribosomal RNA (459 nucleotides) under uncultured bacterium. Its description in RNAcentral is "partial 16S ribosomal RNA". It matches the Rfam family "Bacterial small subunit ribosomal RNA", at positions 28 to 507 of the family's 1533-position model. The record is from RNAcentral.